CACGUAGUUAGCCGUGGCUUUCUGAUUAGGUACCGUCAAGACGUGCACAGUUACUUACACAUUUGUUCUUCCCUAAUAACAGAGUUUUACGAUCCGAAGGCCUUCAUCACUCACGCGGCGUUGCUCCGUCAGGCUUUCGCCCAUUGCGGAAGAUUCCCUACUGCUGCCUCCCGUAGGAGUCUGGACCGUGUCUCAGUUCCAGUGUGGCCGAUCACCCUCUCAGGUCGGCUACGUAUCGUUGCCUUGGUAAGCCAUUACCCCACCAACUAGCUAAUACGGCGCGGGUCCAUCUAUAAGUGAUAGUAAAACCAUCUUUCACUUUAGAACCAUGCGGUUCUAAAUAUUAUCCGGCAUUAGCCCCGGUUUCCCGGAGUUAUUCCAGUCUUAUAGGUAGGUUACCCACGUGUUACUCACCCGUCCGCCGCUAACGUCAAAGGAGCAAGCUCCUUAUCUGUUCGCUCGACUUGCAUGUAUUAGGCACGCCGCCAGCGUUCAUCCUGAGCCAGGAUCAAACUCU
This 517-nucleotide ribosomal RNA is filed under the name uncultured Staphylococcus sp. RNAcentral describes it as "partial 16S ribosomal RNA". The record is from RNAcentral. Lineage: Bacteria; Bacillati; Bacillota; Bacilli; Caryophanales; Staphylococcaceae.